CGGCUGUUGGCCGUGACUCCGCCGGCUGCCCCUUUCCCUCCUCUGAACCUCUCAAUCCGACGCAGACACCACCAUGGGCAGAGAGCCCCCUAAUUACUCAAGCUAUGAUACAGAUUAUCAGGACAACGAAAUACCGAAAUCAAGCUCAGAAACCAACCAAAUCAGACGAUUUUCCCUAAAUCCCUGCAAAUCCCUAAAUUAUUCGAG
RNAcentral lists this long non-coding RNA (207 nucleotides) under Salvia miltiorrhiza (redroot sage). RNAcentral's name for it is "long non-coding RNA (SMIL_LNC010070)". The record is from RNAcentral. Lineage: Eukaryota; Viridiplantae; Streptophyta; Magnoliopsida; Lamiales; Lamiaceae.